Molecule: ribosomal RNA, 119 nt
Filed under: Pteropus alecto (black flying fox)
Lineage: Eukaryota; Metazoa; Chordata; Mammalia; Chiroptera; Pteropodidae
Source: RNAcentral
CUCUACGGCCAUGCCACCCUGAACAAGCCCGAUCCCGUCUGAUCUCGGAAGCUGAGCAGGGUUGGGCCUGGUUAGUAUUUGGAUGGGAGACCACCUAGGAAGACCAGGUGCUGUGGGCG